This 488-nucleotide long non-coding RNA is filed under the name Androctonus crassicauda. The record is from RNAcentral. Lineage: Eukaryota; Metazoa; Arthropoda; Arachnida; Scorpiones; Buthidae.
GUUCCAACGUAUAUGUAUGUUCGAAACUGGUCGUCGGGCACUGAUGAGGGACUUUGUGUGGUCCGAAAGCGUUUUGCCAUUGAGAAUCCUUUGCUUGUGGAGCUGUGUCUUUUUUGCCAUUAAUAUAGAAAGCAAAGUUUAUAUUUUUAUAUCUCUACUUAAAUCUUAUUUAAACAGCAAAUUAGAAGAUAGAAAACCAAAAGCUAAGCAUAUAAAGUUUUGCUGCAAUAAACAGAUGGAAUAAAAAUGCAAUUAGACACCACCAAUCAUCCUAAGCUUAGAUCAGUGACCCAACUCUGCAAUUCAUCUGUGAAUUAUAUUUUUAUAGAUAGUGAUAUAAUAUUAUCUAUACUGAAAACCAAUAAAAAUUACACAUUAUAUAAACAAUAGAAAUAUUGUACUAUAUAUAAACUGCAUAUUAUAAAUGUAUGCAGGAAAAUGCAGUUCAAUAUUUAUUUUUUCAUACUGUGAUUUAUGUAAUUUAAAAC